Molecule: long non-coding RNA, 2044 nt
Organism: Quercus robur (English oak)
Lineage: Eukaryota; Viridiplantae; Streptophyta; Magnoliopsida; Fagales; Fagaceae
Exons: 2
Source: RefSeq, a predicted model, not a curated record
AUACGAGGAUGUAUUGCCUUGCUUUGGUGUUGAAUUUGUUGUUUCCAUGCCUGACAAGUGUGCACAGAUCACCAUUGAAAGUUAGUACACAAAAGAACUGAGGAGUAUUUGUGUAGCAACUAAUUCUAACUUUAUGCCUUGGCUAUAAUUUCCUUUGUUUUGCUCUCAGCUAUGGUAAGACCUAUAAAGUAAUUUAAAAACUGCUUAAGGCACCCCAUUUUAGUUAGACUAGAAUAUUAAAUCUAGUAGCCUACAACGUGGUGAAUUGGUUGUCACUAGCUUCCAUUUGGCAACAUUUCAAAAUUAUCAGUCCUUAUGCAAAUGUAAGAACCUUUGAUUUCAUUGUAGGAAAAUUAUGUGGGGGUAAAUGAUUUCCUCUCCCACCCCCCGGCGGCGGCAAGAAAUUCCAAUCGUAAAGAUGAAAAGUUCUUCCAAGUAAUCACUAAUCACAAGGAGGUUGAAUAUAGAAGCAUAUAGAUUUCUUGUCCUGGUGAUUGAAUAGUUUUGUGCCUUGGUAGAGGGGGAAGAGUGGGAUGACCCCUGUUUCUUACCAUUGGUUUGAUUGUUACACAAUUUUGGAAUGAAAUUUUGAAUUUGAACAUACCUGAAGUUGAAAUCAAUAGGUGAAGAAAAAGAGAUUAAGGCAUUGAAUUCAUGUUACAUUGGUUCAAUCUGGGCUCUUCAAUUCUAAUUCACCUACAGGUACUUUUAUGUUUCUUUUCUUCUUGUGAUGCUGUUACAUUUGCUUUAUAAUCCAAGGUCAGUAACUUCUAUCUCCAGCCUUUAUGGGCCCAGGAAUAUUUUGAAUUCAUUCAAGAACAUCAUGCACAAAUGUUCCGUCCUCAUUCGGCCUCAUCCAAUCUAAACAUAAUCAGAAGGAAGUGUUUGUAAAAAGGCCCAAUAUCAAUUUCAAGAUGCAGCAGCAGCAAGGUUAACCUGGAAUGCUAGUUUCUUUAAUAGUCCAUCUAGUUUGAUAACAUAUGAAAAACAAACUAGGUAUUUUUCAGUGGUACCUUUAUUUAGUUUUCCAUCUAUGAUUUUGAAUAGUUGAAACCUUUUAUUUUAUUUUAUUUAGGUAACAUUUUUUUAGAAGAAAGAGGGAAGCUCUCAUAACUAAAAUCUAUAAUUGCUAAUUUUGUAGUCUUAAUGUUAUAGGGUUAGGUACUUGCUAUUUUUCAAGUUUCUUAGUCAGUAUCUUAUGCUUGUUCUGUAUCAGAGCCAAAUUCUUUCUCAGCAUGAAAGAGUGCAAAGUAUGAGAAGUGGCUGCCAGUAGGGAUGAAGUUAUUAUCAAUUCAUUGGCUUCAUUAGUUGGAUUAGGUAACAAUUGCAUAAUCUCUUUACCCAGAACAACAUUAUUGGAAGUGAACUGAAUUUCUAAUUGGUUUAUUGUGACUUCUACACUCUCUCAAGUUAAUCAUGUUUAACUAGAGUUUCCUCAAUUUGCUCAUAAAUAUUGUUUUUUCUAUUUGCUUUCUUUUGUCCUGAAUCCCUAACCUUGUUUUUAAAAUUUUGUGGUCUAAACCUGUUGGAGAAGUAAAUUUUAUACUGGUGAAAAUUGUUAAGCAGGGUUGCUCCCCAGAUAGCCUUGUCUUACAAUUUGGCACAAGAUAGCUGAUUGAUGAAGCUCCACAGGCAAAGCUCAAUAUGCCAGAAUAACGAAGCUCCCUUUUUUAUUCAUCCUGAAUCAUUGACCUUGUAUAUAGAACUCUAUUCUCAGUUCAUGGAUGCAACAAAAACUGAUAGAUGAUGCUCCAUUCAACAUGAUGAAUGUAGCAUGCCUUGGAUGUCAAGCACUUAUGCAUGAACAAGAAACUGGGCAAUUGCUUUUAUGUGUAUCUGUAAAUUAUUCUUUCUCAAUUUUUAUUUUGAAUGUGAAUGAUGUUUAUCUCCAUCCAAGCAGAUGCUUGUAUUUGCGGCAAAAUUGAUUUGUAUAAGCAGUGCUUUUGUUAAAUUUCACUUCUUUGAUGAUUGAUAUCCUAAGAUAGUAUUGCAGCUGAAAGAAGUGUUAGUAUUUAAUAAUCAUCAAUAAGCAAGUUGCUUGGUU